GUGCACGUGAUGGUCGGAGGACAACUCUGGGGAGCUGCUUCUCUCCGUUUACCGUGUGGUCUUUAGGAACUGAAUCAGGUCGCCAGUCUUAGCGGCAAGCACCUUUACCCUCUGCUGCAUCUUGACCACUGGGUUACAGGGAAUUUAGAAGACAAGAUAAAGAUGUCAGGAGGAGGAGGCGGCAGCUGACUGGGAUCUGUUCAUUCACCCCAUAGGUGACUAUUACAGCGCCUCUGGGUGCCCCUGACAGACAUGUUCCUGGCCUCACAGAACCUCUGUGCAGCCAGGAGAAAGACAAAUCACUGUGAGACACCUUGGUCUGACAACAGAAAACCCGAGAGUUGAGGGGACGUCAGAGUUUGGUGGAAAGCCAACUAGACUGGCUUCCCCCUUCAAAGCAUUCAGACAGACGUAGGAGAAAAUCAGGGGCUUCCAUGAGUUCGGGAAGAAAGCCCUUCUUAGCAGAGAAGAGCUGUGUUGAAGAUUGCAUCAGCAGGAGCUUCGUCACAGGGGAACUGGCGAGGGCAGACAGCUGGAGUGAGGUGGGGUGAAAAGGUAGAACCGGGCGCUACCUCCGGAGCCACUGGCUCUCGGGACCCCGACAAGCUGGAUGAGAGAGUCAGAGAGCCGACUGAGCUUUCAGUAAAAGGAGGGUUGACCUUCAUCUUGGAAGGGCCACUGAAGCUGGAGUGUUCAUUAUCCCACAGGAAGCAACAUCAGGAACAGAUACCACGGAAGGCUAGUGAAACAAAAGGAGAUGGCAAUGCUCUCAAGUUUAGCCGCUUUGGGGGAAGCGUUUCAAGAACCUGAAACUCGGAGGAUGGGCAUCCUUGUGUUGGGAACUGGAGCUCCGGAGCGUUGGGAAAACUGCAAAGUGGGUUCAGCUGCUGCCAAGGAAGGCGCUGCUGAUGCCAGGGUGAAGAAGUGUUGCCAGGGCGACGUUACAGGAACAGGAAGCCAAUAGAAAUAAGCAAGCCCCCUCUUCCUGCUGCUGCGUUCCCAGCAUCUGCCCUGUGCUCUUUCCUGGCAGCGCAGAGCGGAAAGCAACCAAGGUCUUCCGAGCCAGCUCCGGCAUCGCACGCAAGGCACGGAUAGAAGGUGAAUGUGACAUAAAGAGGCAAUCGCUGAGCUAACAGAAACACGGAUUAACACAAAUGAAGGGAUGCACAAGUUUCCAGAACUACAGAAUUCAGUUGAGAGGGUCAGAGAAGUGAGCCUGCUGGAAGAAUGACACUGCUUAACACCGUAGGGCCCUUUGGGGGCUGAAGAGGUGGCUCAGCAGUUAAGAACUCUGGGCUGCACUUUCAGGGGACCAGGCUUCAGGUCCCAGCACCAACUAUAUGUGACUCCAGUUCCAGGGGAAUUGAUAACCUCUGCUGGUCUCCACAGUCAUUGUACGUACAAAGUGCAUACACUCACAAGACAGACAAAACACCCACACACAUAAAGU
RNAcentral lists this long non-coding RNA (1450 nucleotides) under Mus pahari (shrew mouse). RNAcentral describes it as "predicted gene 12968 (MGP_PahariEiJ_G0006242.1)". Lineage: Eukaryota; Metazoa; Chordata; Mammalia; Rodentia; Muridae. The record is from RNAcentral.